CAGUCUGUUAACAUCACUCUGAAAGGAUGCACAGUUAUUGUCAUGGGCCCCAGAGGAGCUCUGCAGAGUGACUUCAAUCAUAUCAAUGUUCAUAACACACAUCUGUAUUUAAAAAUGAAUUAACUAGUAAACUAAAUAAAUUUUAAAAAAUUAUAUCAAGGUAGAACUCCAUCUGCUUAGAAAGAAAAGGAAGACUCCUGUUUGACAAAUAAUGGAGAAAUAACUGGCUACCAUUUCCAUUGUCUUUAGUCAUAUACAGAACAUAAUCAAGGGUAUUACACAGCUUCUGUAAUAAGGUGAGUCCUCUGUAUGCUGACUUAUUUAUCAACAUCCUUAUUAAGGAGAAUGGGUCUCAUUUAAAUACAAAAUUUCUUAAGUAAAAAAUAUAUCUGCAGGUUCAGAUGAGGCUAGGUGUUACUUGCUUAGUAUCUCAAGCCCAGAAAGUGGAGGUAGUCCUAGAAGGAAAUGACAUGGAACUCGUAUCAAAUUCAGCUGCUUUGGUUCAGUAAGCCAACAGUUAAAAACAAAAAAUAUCCAAAAAAAAAUUGGAUAGAAGCUAUGUUUCUGAAAAUGGA
RNAcentral lists this long non-coding RNA (575 nucleotides) under Homo sapiens (human). Its description in RNAcentral is "non-protein coding lnc-LRP1B-9:1". Lineage: Eukaryota; Metazoa; Chordata; Mammalia; Primates; Hominidae. The record is from RNAcentral.